UACGGCCUUAUCAGGUAGAAACACUGGUUCUUGGCCGAUCUCAGAAGUUAAGCAACGUCGUACCUGGCCAGUAUAUAGAUGGGUGAACGCUUGGGAAUACCAGGUGAUGUAA
Acanthosepion pharaonis is the source of this 112-nucleotide non-coding RNA. The record is from the annotation of a GenBank genome assembly. NCBI's taxonomy places the organism in Eukaryota, Metazoa, Mollusca, Cephalopoda, Sepiida, Sepiidae.